Molecule: regulatory RNA element, 54 nt
Organism: Lepisosteus oculatus (spotted gar)
Lineage: Eukaryota; Metazoa; Chordata; Actinopteri; Semionotiformes; Lepisosteidae
Rfam family: Editing element of GABA-3 exon 9
Source: Rfam
AAGGUGGCCUACGCAACUGCUAUGGAUUGGUUCAUCGCUGUGUGUUACGCUUUU